UACAGAGGCCCCAAGCAUUAUCCGGAAUCACUGGGCGUAAAGGGUGUCGAGGCGGUCAUGUUAGUCGUUUGUAAAAUCCGUGGGCUCAACCUACGGCUCGCAAGCGAAACGGCAUGACUUGAGGGCAGGAGAGGUGCGUGGAACUCACGGUGUAGGGGUGAAAUCCGUUGAUAUCGUGGGGAACACCAAAGGCGAAGGCAGCGCACUGGCCUGUUUCUGACGCUCACACACGAAAGCUAGGGUAGCGAACGGG
This 253-nucleotide unclassified non-coding RNA is filed under the name uncultured Parcubacteria group bacterium. RNAcentral describes it as "contains 16S-23S intergenic spacer region". It matches the Rfam family "Bacterial small subunit ribosomal RNA", at positions 524 to 776 of the family's 1533-position model. The record is from RNAcentral.